UGGCCGUAAACGAUGUGGACUUGGUGUUGGAAUGGCUCCGAGCUGCUCCAGUGCCGAAGGGAAGCUGUUAAGUCCACCGCCUGGGAAGUACGGUCGCAAGACUGAAACUUAAAGGAAUUGGCGGGGAGCACCACAACGCGUGGAGCCUGCGGUUUAAUUUGGAUUCAACGCCGGACACCUCACCAGGGGCGACAGCAGAAUGAUGGCCAGGUUGAUGACCUUGCUUGACAAGCUGAGAGGAGGUGCAUGGCGUGUGACUGU
This 261-nucleotide ribosomal RNA is filed under the name uncultured archaeon. RNAcentral's name for it is "partial 16S ribosomal RNA". It matches the Rfam family "Archaeal small subunit ribosomal RNA", at positions 748 to 1008 of the family's 1478-position model. The record is from RNAcentral.